This 1522-nucleotide long non-coding RNA is filed under the name Anas platyrhynchos platyrhynchos (common mallard). RNAcentral's name for it is "lncRNA (ENSAPLG00000020647.1)". Lineage: Eukaryota; Metazoa; Chordata; Aves; Anseriformes; Anatidae. The record is from RNAcentral.
UCCCGAAGAAAAACCCAUUUUACAGGCAGUCUGGCAUAAUAUAGCGAUUUAUUCCCACAUCCAGCUUCCAACCAGUACAAAUAAUAUGCACAUGCAUUACAGAGCCAUCGGCUGCUUCCUAAGAGGUAAUAACAGUGUUUGGUCCGAGGGGGCUGGGGCAGCCAAGGACUUAAGGAAGCAGCAACUUUUUCUUUGCAAUGUGUUUUGCUUCCUGAUAAUUUUAUUAUUUUCACUGAGAUAUUACAGUAAGUGGCUUGGUAGCACCUUGUGAUUCUGACAAAUAAAUCACAUCACAGCAAUUUAAGUGCAGAGGUAGCACCUUUGGCUGGCAUAUUUCACUUUAAUGUGUCUAGAGGCAUUUAUGCAGAAAGCCCUGCAAAGGCAGAGCAGAUUCUUUUCCUCCUGUCUAUGAAAUUCCCUACUCUGUUGUUUUUAUCACCCAGAUAAGAGGCUACUGUUACAGCAGGUUCAAAGACUAGAAGCUCCAGGGGGAGAGAACAAGAUCCAGCAUCACAGAAAACUUUAGUGUCUUUGGCUUUAGUAUUAGAUGACUUAACACUUCACCCAGCGAUAUCAAAACCCACCCUGCCUGAAAUUCAAGCCCAUUAAAGCUCUUCAUGGUUUCUGAGACAGACAGAUGUUUCUAAGAGCUUUUCCUACUCAGAUCACUCUAAAGUCCUGAAUGAUUUCAUUUCUGAAGGCAACAUCCCUACAAGCGUUACCAUUAUUCUCCUUACUUUACAAAACCAAGUAGAGGAUGCCCUGAAACAACACACUCAGUUUUUGGACAGCUGAUUGAGUUAGCUUAUUUAUAAAUGAUUCCUACGUAAAACCGGUCUUGUUCCUUCUACCAGCAGCAUCCACCUACCAGAGGAGCCCUGCUGCUUUUCUCUUCUACCCCUCAUCUCUCCCAAAACAGAAAGUUGAGUUAAACAGUACCAGAAAACAACCCCCACAGAAAAAAAACCCUAAACACAGGGAACGCUACAUUACCACCCCACCUUGCAAAGCCUUAACGCAGACUUACUACCUCAGCUGUUGUGCCUGCAGCAGCUCAAAAGAUGCUAGCCUCCCCAUCUCAGAGCAGCAUACUGAACACAAAACACCUCUCUCCUUAUACCAGCAAACCUACAGGCAUUUUAGGAUCCAACCUCUUAUUCCUCAUGAGGGUUUUGCGAUGAAGUCUCAUUAGUUGACUAACCUUUGUGAGUACGUUGGUGUCGCAGCAGCAACUGCUUCGUGAAGAAGAUUAUGCAUUAAUCAUGAAUUCCUAACUGACUGUCUUAAAAAACUGGGAAGGUCAGCUUGUAACUGUACAUUGAUUAGUGGCCCAGAAAGCACAACAGUGGGAAAUUAAAAGGGUAUUUGACCCUUGCUAGGUGUUGUUUUUUAACCCAAGUUUACUUACUUUUUUUCCCUACCACCACGAAACUCAGAUUUGGUCUGACAAAAUAUUUCAUAUUGAUCAUCGUGCAUUUUUUUUCCCAAUAAAAACCCUUAAGAAUGUUUAAAAAAAAAAAGA